AGAGUUUGAUCCUGGCUCAGGACGAACGCUGGCGGCGUGCUAACACAUGCAAGUCGAACGGUCCGGCACACAACCGACCCUCAGUCUAACUGUAGGUGAAGUUAAGUGCUGGGUAGUGGCGGACGGGUGAGUAACGCGUGGGCAACCAACCCUGUACAGUGGGAUAACACCGGGAAACGGGUGCUAAUACCGCAUGAAACUUAAUCAGUGCACACUGUUUAGGUUAAAGGUAAAAAACCGGUACGGGACGGGCCCGCGUCCCAUUAGCUAGUUGGUGAGGUAACGGCUCACCAAGGCAACGAUGGGUAGCCGACCUGAGAGGGUGACCGGCCACACUGGGACUGAGACACGGCCCAGACUCCUACGGGAGGCAGCAGUGGGGAAUAUUGCGCAAUGGACGGAAGUCUGACGCAGCGACGCCGCGUGAGCGAAGAAGGCCUUCGGGUCGUAAAGCUCUGUUCUUGGGGACGAAUAAGAUGACGGUACCCAAGGAGAAAGCCCCGGCUAACUACGUGCCAGCAGCCGCGGUAACACGUAGGGGGCGAGCGUUGUCCGGAAUUACUGGGCGUAAAGGGCGUGUAGGCGGCCGAGCAAGUCAAGUGUGAAAAGCCCCGGCUUAACCGAGGCAUUGCACAUGAAACUGUUUGGCUUGAGUGCAGGAGAGGGAAGUGGAAUUCCUAGUGUAGCGGUGAAAUGCGUAGAUAUUAGGAGGAACACCAGUGGCGAAGGCGACUUCCUGGACUGUAACUGACGCUGAGGCGCGAAAGCGUGGGUAGCAAACAGGAUUAGAUACCCUGGUAGUCCACGCCGUAAACGAUGGGUACUAGGUGUGGGUAGUUCACUCUAUCCGUGCCGCAGCAAACGCAAUAAGUACCCCGCCUGGGGAGUACGGCCGCAAGGUUGAAACUCAAAUGAAUUGACGG
Molecule: ribosomal RNA, 923 nt
Filed under: uncultured bacterium
Lineage: Bacteria
Description: bacterial SSU rRNA
Rfam family: Bacterial small subunit ribosomal RNA
Source: RNAcentral